Balaenoptera ricei (Rice's whale) is the source of this 3307-nucleotide long non-coding RNA. RefSeq lists it as uncharacterized. The transcript has 2 exons. The record is from RefSeq and is a predicted model, not a curated record. NCBI's taxonomy places the organism in Eukaryota, Metazoa, Chordata, Mammalia, Artiodactyla, Balaenopteridae.
CCCAGCCUAUAAAAGCAAAAGUUGUGGCCCGUCCAGCAGGAGUUAGCGAAAGGGAGGGCCGGGGGCCUGGGCUUAGUUUUGGGGGAGGAGUUGGCUAGUUUAGGGUCUCAGGGGACAGGUGGGGGAGAUGGCAGAGUUAGAUGGGACUGGGGGGGUGGGGGGUGCCAGGAGAAGGAAGGUUAAAGGGGAGACUAGGUGUUGGGGGAACUGUGCUGGGAAGAGCUGCGUCGGAAGUGCCCACAGUAACCCGGGGGAAGGACAACACCCCAGGCCUGGCUGUCGCAGCUGCCUGCUGGAGAAGGGGAGCCUGACCUCUAGAAGGGCGCCGCUCCUUUGUAGGCUGAGCGGCCCCCAGUGCCCUGGUUUGUAUGGAAGGAGGAAGGCAGAGAGACAGGAGGAGGAGGCUGAUGGUCUCGCGGCCUUUGCUGGAGGCACACUUGGGCAGUCGACGCCCUGAAAAUGAGCAGGAAGGAAGGCAGUGGGGUACAGGGACGCAGAUGGGCAGGGAGGGCAGAACUUGAACUUGUCAAUACCAGCAGCCCCCUUUUUUUCCAGACAGAGGGUUGUGAACCCGCCUGGGGAUGAGGCCUGGUGUUGUGGAAACUGAACUUAGCUUCGCGGGGCUGACAGUUCUGGCCCAGGGCGGUGGCAGUGCACCCCUUUGGACUUUUUCUCUGGGUUCCAUGCUUACCUCUUCUGUGACCUCACUCUGCCCCUCCUCCUCCCUCUAACUCUCUCGAGGUUACCCCUUCACUUAAAACGUUGCUUCUGGUAAUCUGGUAAGCCGGGAAAGUUGCUGGAGUCCCUGCCGGAGUCGGUGUUGUCGGUAAUCGUGAAGGAGGAGAGGCGCCCCCAGCGGAGACUCUGGGUGGGCGGGUUGGUCUUGCUUGCCGGUGGAGAGGGUGGGGAUUGAAGGUGCACCCUUGGGUGGACCCACAGCGAUGGUACCAGCUGAACGCUACAAAAAUGCUUCAUAGACCGUGGUUUGUUACUAUAGUGUUCAUCAUGGCGAGCUGAUGGCACCAGGAGAAUGGAGCCCCUGGCCAGUGUGCGUCGUAGCAGUGCAGGAGGGGAGACCCUGGAGGAGGAGAGAGCCCGCCUAAAUUGAUGUCUACAGAUUGAAUUUCCAGAGGCUUAGGAGGAGGAGGAGUUCUCCAAUGUCCUGUUUCCAGGCCUUGCUCAGGAAUCCCUGUAUUCAUUCAGGAGACCAUCCUUUAAGGUUUUCAGAUGAGCUUAUGAGGGGGCAAUCUUUAAAAGUCCAAAGCAGAUGCAUCCGGGGCCUUCAGCAGAUGUGUUGCUUUGAGUGUGUAAUCCAGGAGCAGCGAUCUCUGGGCACAUGAAUGCCAGCAGGCACCUCUCCUGUUCUGGGGUGGAGGUUUUCAAAUGCUGCAUCUUCUAAAUUCAGCUUCCUGUUGUACUAGUUCUGUGCUACGAACCUUGCUUCCAGAGGACUCUUAAGCUGUAGAACAUUUUAACGCGAUGCCACAACACAGAGUGCUGCCUUGUAGAUGGAGCUUGCAGAUGGAUCCCAGUGACCCUCUCAUCUACCCUCCUGCCUUCCUGUGCAUUGGUUGGAGGAAUUCUUAGUGUGAUGAUAAUCUGUGUGUUGGGAAAGUGUUCAAGAUUGAAAUGAAUGCCUUAGGCAAAUACUUAAGUGAGCCAACUGGCAAAUUGAGGGGGUCAUUGUACUGUGCUGGAGGUACGAGUUGGUCAUGCCCAAAUUGUGAUAGAAAUGGCAGGUCUAGUUUGGGCAUUCCUACUAAGAAGGGAGUGGUCAGGGUACCCAUAGUGAUCUUUGAUUCAUCUUGCUCUAUGUACUUUUUAACUUCAAUUUUACUUGAUUAGAUUUCAGAGUAAUCUUAGUGUUUAAAUGGGAGGACCCUGAGGUGAGGGGUGGUGGGGAGGGAAAAGCCUGCCACAGGUGCUGGGAGGGGUGGGCGUGAAGAAAGGGAGAAGGGGGGGAGGGUUGUGGUUAGGUGUGGGUUGUAGUAGAGGGUGGGAGUGGUAGGGGGGAAUGUGGGUUGAAGGGAAUUCUCCGGAGAAAAGAUCAGUAGGCAGAGCUUUGGGGAAUUAUAUAGAGCUCAUGGGCGAAGAAAAUACUAGUUAAUAGUAAAUUGUUAAUGCUAGUUAAAUUGUUGCUUGGAAGCACAAAAAAAAGUUGCUUGGAAACUUUCUAAAAUGCUUAGAACUCUGCUAAGUGCAGGAGAAAAAGCAAAAUUGUUUUGCUUUGCUGCAAGAUGGGGAAGACUGAAAAGGUAACUGAAGACCUGGUCAUUGGUGAUUUGAAAGAUUGGUGUCAGGAACUUGCAUCAGCAGGUUAACAUCCUUCACUGCUUUCAAGCUUAAGUGGUUUAUCUGGAGGUGUGUGGUAUUUGGGAGAGGUCUUCGAAAAGACUUUAAAUACCCAUAUUGUGGGCUUUUAAAGUAAGCUUGAGAUUUUGGAGUGCACUUAAGAUGGUGAGAUGUACUCUUCUGGGUUUGCAACAUUUUUAUUCACAGAGGUUUUGCAGUUGAAAACUUGAGCAAAGUGAAAAUGCAAUGAUUUCUAAAGGAAUUUUGUGUUACUUCCUGCCUUAUAAGCACAUCUCUUUUUUUCUUUGUGAUGAAACAGCAAGAGUUUUUAGUUUUCGUCGUCAUUGUAACAAGGAGAACUUAAUGACUUUUUGUGAUCACUGUAAAAUUACUGUAAUAUUUGGUAGCAAACAAUCCAUGUAGCCUUGCUAAGGUUACAGUUAGUAAUCCACUGUAUCUUUAGUUUGAAUGUUUGUGUUUUUUAAGUGAUAACCGUACUAGAGGGGAAACUAUCAACCAAAAUCAGUUUGGGAAAUAAGCAAAACUGGGGAUGGGGAGGCGCUUUAUUACUAGAUUAUGGUCUGUGAAAAUUCAGGGAAAGAUCUGAAUCCUUUGUGAUAAAGUAAUACCAGUGGCUUUUUUAUCAUGUUCCUCUUCCCAUUGAAUUUCACGUUGAAAAUUUUAAAUCCCCAAUAUUUAUGACACUUGGGAUCUUUCUGGGUUCUCUUUUUAAUGUUUAAAAAUAUGUUGACAUGAUAGUUCAGUUCUUAACCCGUGAUUUGGGCAUGAUACAGUAACUGUCAUUGGAAUUUACAGAAUACUAGUCAUGCAUGUAUGGGGAAAUGUGUUCCAGUAAGCUGUUGUGAAAUUGAAACUGUAAAAGUAGGAGGAAAAAGUACUUUUAUGUUGCUCUGUAUGGGAAGAACCAGUCUUGUUACACCAUGUAUGUGACUACUAAUCGUUUUUCUUCCCCUUUACAGCAUGAAUAAAGGUUUGAGUUCUAAACUCAUUAGAA